GGUUGCGAUCAUACCAGUACUAAUGCACCGAAUCCCAUCACUCCGCAGUUAUGCGUGCUUGGGCGAGAGUAGUACCAGGAUGGGUGACCCGUUGGGAAGUCCUCGUGUUACAACCC
RNAcentral lists this ribosomal RNA (116 nucleotides) under Helianthus annuus (common sunflower). The record is from RNAcentral. Lineage: Eukaryota; Viridiplantae; Streptophyta; Magnoliopsida; Asterales; Asteraceae.